Molecule: microRNA precursor, 84 nt
Filed under: Camelus bactrianus (Bactrian camel)
Lineage: Eukaryota; Metazoa; Chordata; Mammalia; Artiodactyla; Camelidae
Also listed under: 2 other names
Description: mir-544 microRNA precursor family
Rfam family: mir-544 microRNA precursor family
Source: Rfam by way of RNAcentral
AUCACCUGGGAUCUUGUUAAAGUGCAGAUUCUGGUUCAGGAGCCUGCGAUUCUGCAUUUCUAACAAGCUUCCAGGUGCUGCUGA